This 99-nucleotide ribosomal RNA is filed under the name Elizabethkingia anophelis. RNAcentral describes it as "partial 23S ribosomal RNA". It matches the Rfam family "Bacterial large subunit ribosomal RNA", at positions 2824 to 2925 of the family's 2925-position model. Lineage: Bacteria; Pseudomonadati; Bacteroidota; Flavobacteriia; Flavobacteriales; Weeksellaceae. The record is from RNAcentral.
UCUUUUAAGGGUCGUUGAAGAUGACGACGUUGAUAGGCUAUAGGUGUAAAGGCAGUAAUGUCAUAGCCGAGUAGUACUAAUUACCCGUAGAUUUAUAGC